CUCAAGCUAUUGGUUCGAGGCUGAAGUGUUUUUUUGGUUUCCUCUACAAAGUUUGCAAGCAAUGAAAGGGCUUGUCACAUGACUUCUUGACUUAUAUUUUGGAAAAAUCUGGUAGUUGAUCAUUCCUAUUUGGCUUCAAGUUGCGUUAGCACUACAAGUAGGCAUUUUGCAAUUGCUUCGUCUCUUAUAU
Non-coding RNA from Arabidopsis thaliana (thale cress), 190 nucleotides. Lineage: Eukaryota; Viridiplantae; Streptophyta; Magnoliopsida; Brassicales; Brassicaceae. The record is from RefSeq.